This is a long non-coding RNA of Callorhinchus milii (elephant shark), 919 nucleotides long. RefSeq lists it as uncharacterized. The record is from RefSeq and is a predicted model, not a curated record. The transcript has 3 exons. NCBI's taxonomy places the organism in Eukaryota, Metazoa, Chordata, Chondrichthyes, Chimaeriformes, Callorhinchidae.
CAGUGGGAGUCGCACCGCAGUCAGACUUCAGUCCUCACAUUAUUAACAAAAAAGCAAAAAUAAAGCAACGGUUGGAAUCUCCUAACAUUUUGGACGUCGACGAACAGAGGUUCCCUUUGGGUGAAGUGCAAUGAGGAUUCCUGUUGAUUUUUUCCAUUCAGCCCAGGACUGACUCGGGCUAUUGACUCUUGGAAUGAAAACCGGAGAAAGAAAUCCCGCCUGGGAAUGUUACUACAGCUGCUCGUAUCAGCAGAAGCUCAAACCAAAAAUCAAAGGUACUGCACUGAUCGAUGGUAAAAUUCAAUUUAUGGAUUCUUAAGUGACGACUUUUCAAGCGUCCUUUUAUUUGAAAUAUCAAAGGCGUUUGAACAGCGGUCUGGACAAUGGGAGGAAAUGAUAUCUGAACAGAUCUGUGAAAGCAACUGCUGGAGAGCACAAAUGAUUUUCCUCACGGACUGGAUAUAAUUGGUCUUACAAGUGUAUCAAUGGCAAAUGUCAGGUAUAAACACAAGGUGCUACAAUCUGAAGGAGACACUGUUCAUAUAAAUAGUGAUUAAACUUGACAGCAGUUCCCUACCCAUGACUCGCAUUGAGAUGUUUUGACCUGAGAAAGCUGAAGAAUCCUGCAAUGCAAGUUCAUGAUUUCAUUAUCAACAAUAUCCCUUCUGGGAAGGAGUGGCCAACAGUUUUGGGAGAAGGAAGUAUUAAUUCAGUGGGAAGCCGGAGCUGAGAGAAACUAAAGGGCUUUGCGAUGGUUUGGAAACAAUAUCAGAAGAGCCCGAAGAUGACCAACACUUGCUAAAAAUUGAGACUACCUUGGCAUGUGUCUAGGAAAGCUUCUCAACAAUAAGGCAUUAGAAGAUUUUCAGGUGCUGUCCAAAUUUAAUCCAUCAAUGAAGAACAACAUUUUUUUAAAUUC